GACAAGUUGACAAGAGCAUCGGGUGGAUGCCUUGGCGUCGGAAGGCGAUGAAAGACGUGGUAAGCUGCGAAAAGCCUCGGGGAGAAGCUAAACAUUCUGUGAUCCGGGGAUUUCUGAAUGGGGAAACCCGGCGGAGGUCAUGCUCCGUCGCGGGCACUUGAAUACAUAAAGUGUCCAGCGCCAACUCAGGGAAGUGAAACAUCUCAGUACCUGAAGGAAAAGAAAUCAAACGAGACUCCCAAAGUAGCGGCGAGCGAAAUGGGAUGAGCCCAAACCGGCUGGAUUCGUUCAGCCGGGGUUGUAGGGCCGGCAUAUGUGAUUCAUGAGUAGGCAGGGGAAAUGAGCUGGAAAGCUCUGCCAGAGCGGGUGACAGCCCCGUACCUGAAACCCAAAGCGACACAGCCGGUACCUGAGUACCGCGAGACACGUGGAACCUCGUGGGAAUCCGGGAGGACCAUCUUCCAAGGCUAAGUACUAACCGACGACCGAUAGUGUACCAGUACCGUGAGGGAAAGGUGAAAAGAACCUCUGUUAGAGGAGUGAAAUAGAAUCUGAAACCUGGUGCUUACAAGCUGUGAGAGCGGACUUGUUCCGUGAUCACGUGCCUUUUGCAUAAUGAGUCAGCGAGUUAAUCUGUACUGCAAGGUUAAGCG
This 653-nucleotide ribosomal RNA is filed under the name Desulfovibrio piger. Its description in RNAcentral is "partial 23S ribosomal RNA". It matches the Rfam family "Bacterial large subunit ribosomal RNA", at positions 1 to 652 of the family's 2925-position model. Lineage: Bacteria; Pseudomonadati; Thermodesulfobacteriota; Desulfovibrionia; Desulfovibrionales; Desulfovibrionaceae. The record is from RNAcentral.